CGUAGAGUUUGAUCCUGGCGUCAGAGUGAACGCUGGCGGUAGGCCUAACACAUGCAAGUCGAACGGCAGCACAGGAGAGCUUGCUCUCUGGGUGGCGGAGUGGCGGACGGGUGAGGAAUACAUCGGAAUCUACUCUGGUCGUGGGGGAUAACGUAGGGAAACUUACGCUAAUACCGCAUACGACCUACGGGUGAAAGCAGGGGACCUUCGGGCCUUGCGCGAUUGAAUGAGCCGAUGUCGGAUUAGCUAGUUGGCGGGGUAAAGGCCCACCAAGGCGACGAUCCGUAGCUGGUCUGAGAGGAUGAUCAGCCACACUGGAACUGAGACACGGUCCAGACUCCUACGGGAGGCAGCAGUGGGGAAUAUUGGACAAUGGGCGCAAGCCUGAUCCAGCCAUACCGCGUGGGUGAAGAAGGCCUUCGGGUUGUAAAGCCCCUUUGUUGGGAAAGAAAUCCAGCUGGCUAAUACCCGGUUGGGAUGACGGUACCCAAAGAAUAAGCACCGGCUAACUUCGUG
Molecule: ribosomal RNA, 516 nt
Filed under: uncultured Stenotrophomonas sp.
Lineage: Bacteria; Pseudomonadati; Pseudomonadota; Gammaproteobacteria; Lysobacterales; Lysobacteraceae
Description: bacterial SSU rRNA
Rfam family: Bacterial small subunit ribosomal RNA
Source: RNAcentral